RNAcentral lists this ribosomal RNA (253 nucleotides) under uncultured bacterium. Its description in RNAcentral is "partial 16S ribosomal RNA". It matches the Rfam family "Bacterial small subunit ribosomal RNA", at positions 524 to 776 of the family's 1533-position model. The record is from RNAcentral.
GACGGAGGAUGCAAGUGUUGUCCGGAUUUAUUGGGCGUAAAGAGCGUGUAGGCGGCCAGGUAGGUCUGGUGUGAAAACUCGAGGCUUAACCUUGAGAUGUCAUCGGAAACCAUUUGGCUAGAGUCCGGAAGAGGAAAGUGGAAUUCCUGGUGUAGCGGUGAAAUGCGCAGAUAUCAGGAAGAACACCAAUGGCGAAAGCAGCUUUCUGGGACGGUACUGACGCUGAGACGCGAAAGCGUGGGGAGCGAACAGG